GCAUUGGUGGUUCAAUGGUAGAAUUCUCCCAUUUCAUGCAGGAGACCAGGGUUCAAUUCCAAGCCAAUGUA
This 71-nucleotide transfer RNA is filed under the name Loxodonta africana (African savanna elephant). It matches the Rfam family "tRNA". From Rfam's summary of the family: Transfer RNA (tRNA) molecules are approximately 80 nucleotides in length. Their secondary structure includes four short double-helical elements and three loops (D, anti-codon, and T loops). Further hydrogen bonds mediate the characteristic L-shaped molecular structure. tRNAs have two regions of fundamental functional importance: the anti-codon, which is responsible for specific mRNA codon recognition, and the 3' end, to which the tRNAs corresponding amino acid is attached (by aminoacyl-tRNA synthetases). tRNAs cope with the degeneracy of the genetic code in two manners: having more than one tRNA (with a specific anti-codon) for a particular amino acid; and 'wobble' base-pairing, i.e. permitting non-standard base-pairing at the 3rd anti-codon position. Lineage: Eukaryota; Metazoa; Chordata; Mammalia; Proboscidea; Elephantidae. The record is from Rfam by way of RNAcentral.